RNAcentral lists this ribosomal RNA (722 nucleotides) under uncultured bacterium. RNAcentral describes it as "bacterial SSU rRNA". It matches the Rfam family "Bacterial small subunit ribosomal RNA", at positions 67 to 795 of the family's 1533-position model. The record is from RNAcentral.
UUUGAUUGAUUUCUUCGGAUUGAAAUUUUAGUGACUGAGUGGCGGACGGGUGAGUAACGCGUGAGUAACCUGCCUCACACAGGGGGAUAACAGUUGGAAACGGCUGCUAAUACCGCAUAAGCGCACAGUACCGCAUGGUACAGUGUGAAAAACUCCGGUGGUGUGAGAUGGACCCGCGUCUGAUUAGCUAGUUGGCAGGGCAACGGCCUACCAAGGCGACGAUCAGUAGCCGACCUGAGAGGGUGACCGGCCACAUUGGGACUGAGACACGGCCCAAACUCCUACGGGAGGCAGCAGUGGGGAAUAUUGCACAAUGGGGGAAACCCUGAUGCAGCGACGCCGCGUGAGCGAAGAAGUAUUUCGGUAUGUAAAGCUCUAUCAGCAGGGAAGAAGAAAUGACGGUACCUGACUAAGAAGCACCGGCUAAAUACGUGCCAGCAGCCGCGGUAAUACGUAUGGUGCAAGCGUUAUCCGGAUUUACUGGGUGUAAAGGGAGCGCAGGCGGAAGGCUAAGUCUGAUGUGAAAGCCCGGGGCUCAACCCCGGUACUGCAUUGGAAACUGGUCAUCUAGAGUGUCGGAGGGGUAAGUGGAAUUCCUAGUGUAGCGGUGAAAUGCGUAGAUAUUAGGAGGAACACCAGUGGCGAAGGCGGCUUACUGGACGAUAACUGACGCUGAGGCUCGAAAGCGUGGGGAGCAAACAGGAUUAGAUACCCUGGUAGUC